AGUAGUUUGACUCCUGGCUCGAGGAUAACGCUGGCGGCGCACAUAAGACAUGCAAGUCGAACGGAAGUCGUUAUAUUGAUUUAGAUAUGAACAGAGAACUUGUUCGAAGGGACUUGAAGAGGAUUUAUAACAAUGGCUUUAGUGGCGGACUGGUGAGUAACACGUAAGCAACCUGCCUAUCAGAGGGGAACAACAGUUAGAAAUGACUGCUAAUACCGCAUAUGCCGUGAGUUACGCAUGUAACAAACGGGAAAGGAGUAAUCCGCUGAUAGAUGGGCUUGCGUCUGAUUAGCUAGUUGGUGUGGUAACGGCAUACCAAGGCGACGAUCAGUAGCCGGACUGAGAGGAUGAACGGCCACAUUGGGACUGAGACACGGCCCAGACUCC
Molecule: ribosomal RNA, 387 nt
Filed under: uncultured Oscillospiraceae bacterium
Lineage: Bacteria; Bacillati; Bacillota; Clostridia; Eubacteriales; Oscillospiraceae
Description: bacterial SSU rRNA
Rfam family: Bacterial small subunit ribosomal RNA
Source: RNAcentral